AUGGACGCGAUACACGAGAUGGAGGACACCUACAAAAAUUCUGCAGCCAUUGCUGGGAACACCGCGACAAUGUUAGAAGCUUUCUCAAAGGCAGCCCUUUCAACUAGCGCUGCGCACUUGGUGCAGAUUGCGAGUCAAGUCGCAGGGAUAGCCGAUGAUUCGAUUGCUAGUAAGGUCAAGCUCGUCAAAGCUGCUCGUCGACUAUCUCGAAUAGAAGCUUCUGGAAAGGCUCAUGUCGUACGCGAGCUUAUACUUGAGUCCGCCGCACUCGCACGAGAAGCUGAAAAUGUAGGAAACGAGAUCCUCAGGUGCAGUGCCAUUGACUUGGGAAACGCUGGGCGUUCUUUCCUACAACUCGCUGCUUUGCACAACAUGGAUGGACUGGUGGAAGAGCAAGCCGACCAAGAUAAUGAGGAAGUCCCAGAGCAACCGACAACCUGGAUCUCUUCAUGGUGGUCCAAAAGGAAAAGAAUGAGAGAUAUUGAAUCUUUGAAGGCUCCUUUGCUAAAUCCAGCUGCCUCAAUGGUCAGGGACAAUACCUCUACCACCGUUCCACAGGGCCAGGGGAGGCUAUGUGACAAGUGGCUAGGCAUGCAGACAUGCGCCCUUGCAAUGUCUCUCAGUUUGCUCCCCUACAUGGGAAGAGAUGGCCUUUUUAAGGAUAAAACAAUUUUCUCAAGUAAUUAUCUGUGGCGGGUGGAUUUGCUAUUCAAGUUGUGGUGGGGCUUGGUAGCUCUUGGCGUGCCUUGCAGUUUGUAUGGUCGCGGUUGUAUGGCGCAGCAGUAUGCCCGUGUGUCCGGCCACUUGGCAAUACUUGGCCUGACUUUUCUUGUUGGCAUGUUCUCUCAUUGGAUACUGGAGAUUGAGGCGAUUGAGGCGACAAUACUGUUGAAAUCUUUUCUUGGCCUUACAGCCGCGGGUUUUAUUUGCUUGUUCAUAGCUUGCUGCGCAGCGGGUGACCUGUAA
RNAcentral lists this ribosomal RNA (966 nucleotides) under Triticum aestivum (bread wheat). RNAcentral describes it as "partial small subunit ribosomal RNA". Lineage: Eukaryota; Viridiplantae; Streptophyta; Magnoliopsida; Poales; Poaceae. The record is from RNAcentral.